CUUUGGAGAGAGAAGUUCUAGAGCGUAGUUUCAAUUUACAUAAUGCGAGGGUAUAAACAGAGAAUGACUGUCGAUGAAGAAGUAGAGGAGGCUGGAAAAUUGCAAUCGAAUGAUAGCACGGUUGAAAUUGUACGGGAGGAAUUAAGAGAAGCUACGUUCACAAAGAGAAAGCAGAAUCGUACGUCCCAGUGGAGUAAGAAUCGCAAAAACUUGGGAGAAUCAGGGAAUCAAGUGUUUUCGACCGAAUAUGUUAAUGAAAAAGCGAAGCUUCUCAAGAGAAAAAAGAUAUCUCUUGAGGAUUAUAGAUAUCUGCCUAAUGCUCUCAUUCAGUCGGAGGAGAAUAUUUAUGCUUUUUUAAGCAUAGAUCAAAGUCUGUCGGGCCUGAUACGUGAUCUCUCUGGCAACAAUCCAACUUUUCAAUUGUAUGCAGCCAAUUGCUGCUGUAAUAUUGCUCUUGGAAAUGCAAAAGCAUGUACAACAUUGGGGAAAGCAGUUAUUCCGUAUUUACUUAUCGAGUUAGAAAGUUUAAAUCAUAUAUUGCUAGAGGUUUGCAUUUGGACAAUUGGUAAUUUAGUUGCAGGAAGUAAUGUGGCCUUUUCUAUUCUACAUGCACAGCACUGUUUGAAAUAUUUAACUUUAUUGUUAUCCAAUUGUGACGACUCGAUACUUCCUUCUGUGAUAUAUGCACUUUUACAUUAUGUACAUGUGGGAUUUUAUGAGAUCUCGAAAAGUGAUAUGGAAGAACUUGUUCAAGUUAUUGUAAAGCGAAAUAUUUUGUAUGAGAAAUCAAAUUUCAUUUGGUUGUUAGCAUUAUUAUCCUCUUCAACAAUAUGCAAGACAUAUUUACAUUCCAUUUUGCCGCAAAUUGUUGACCAUCUUUACCUAUUGAGUUCUGGUCCAGAUAAAUUAGCUCAUGUCAAUGAGAUUACAGCAUCUAUACGUAUACUAGCUAACACGUUACAUAAUUCUUGUGAAAAUAAAGCAGAUAUUCUUUUGAGAAACUCAAAAUACUCACAUGAGGAUUUAUGUCUUUUGUUAAACAAAUUGUUAUCACAUCAAUAUAUGCAUAUUAGAAGGGAAACCUUAUGGUUAAUAGGAAAUUUAUACAAUCACAGAUCAUCUAGCGUUGGUAAAAAUGUAAGAGACCUUGUACCCUUUCUACCAGCACUAAACCAGGCUUUUCUCGCAAUUAGUAAUUGUGCAUAAGUACAAACUUUCUUGACGAUUCCGAGGAAGAAUAUCGGUUUUUCCUUGUGUCUUCUAUACAUGGGACUUUGACGAUAUUGAAGUAUAUCUGUCCCAUCAGAUUAGCCGUUGGGUGAUUGGCAGCUUUUAAGCACUGAUAAAGCGCCUUGUCGCAAGUACAAUGUGACCUGUGAAGCAGUGAAAAACUUGUAAAUGAUUGCUUCGAGAAAGGGACAACUUUGAGACUGUUAUCAGGUAAGAGCCGCUGCAGCAUUUUGACAAGGAAAGGAAAGGAAAAGCUGUCUACCGGCAUGAUGAGGCCCGGAACAGUGGCAACAUAUAGGAUUAUUCCGUGGUCUGGGACAAAACUCAACGCUGUGCGGCUCGCCGCAGCGGACGCAUCGCGGCAAGUGCCGACAAUUGGCGGCCACGUGCCAAAAACCCUGGCACCGAUAACACUGCAACACGCCAUCCGCCAUUUGCGGUGCAUUCGACGUCUCCUGAGAAUUGUUCCCGUAGUCUGUUAAGGCGUAUCGCGACGAUACAGCGGAGGAACAUGGGGUGUUGCUGCGCCACCAGCGUUCCGGGAUGGCAUUGAAACGUGCCACUUCGAAGAAGUUCAGACCUUGACGUAAUAAGGCUUCGUAGUGACCCGCGUCGAAAACCUAUGCGACAAAUGAGCAAUAUAAAUAUUUUUUAUUUUUUAAAUUCAUUAUUUUAUUUGUUAGAUUUAGGUAUUAUGUUUUUAUCGAUAAUUCUGCGAUAGACUUAUGUUAGUUUCCAUCCGCUACCUUAACGACUAUACUUUCAUCUUAGUUUUUUUAUUGCAAAUAGUGUACAAUUGGAAAGUCAACUUUCGAAACCUGUUGAGCGUAUCUUAGCUAUUUCACAUAAGCCGGAUGCAAGAACCAGUAUUUUUACAAUGACAUAAUAUCUGACAUUUCUAUGCAUUUUAAUAAUAGAAGCAAAGUCUAUAUAUUUGAGCUUUGGGCGUAUACGUAUUUAAUUUGAUGCGUUAAUUUUCGAUUAUAAAUAACUGAUUAUUAUUUAAAAUUAUUACAACGACUUAAUUAUACGAAUUAGUAGAGUGUUAAGAAUGGAAAGGUAGAUAACUAGUUUUUACUUCUACUCGAACCAAAUGUCGCGAACGUUCGACAUUUCCAGCGACAAUUCCUUGCUUUGCCAGAGCCGAAUUUAUAUCCUGAAGAGGUAUAGCCCACGGAACAUCUCUCAGAAGUACGGCUUGACGAUAUCGAGAAUCUCUUGCUGAGAAUCGCGCUACCUGAGACAUAAAUCCAAUAUAAAUUAAAAAUUGCUUUCAAACUUAAAUGUUUGAAUUCGCUGAAUAAUUAUAGCAAUGUAUUCUCAGAAUUACCAAAACAUUCAUUAUGAAAUAAUUCCUUUCUCAGUAGAGUAUUCUAGACAAAAUUUUAUGCGAAAUAAAAUAUCUAAAUUCUCACGCAAUUUAAAAUUGUACAGUCUUGUUGAAAAUUAUAUAAUAAGUUUUGUCUGAAACGGACUAUGCACACAACUUUUUAAACGAUCAUGUGUGUCUUGUGAAAUCUGAUGGAAUUGAAAGUAUUAUAAAAAAAAUCUUGUACUUGUACAGGUCGUCCAAACACUCGAGCCAGAUCGCCGCGUUGCAGUAGUUUCUCGGCGUCGUUUUCUCUGGCAAAGGCGGCAAUUAGACCGCAUGGAGUUUCGGAAACUCGCCACGUCGAUAGCGGUUCAGAAGCAACAAUAGCUUCUUCGAGAUGAGAUCGUAGCAACUCGCAACCUGAUCAAUAACGAAUUAAUUAGAAAUCAGGUAGAAAUUACGUAAACGAGAUUGUAAGUUUCUAUCUUUAGAGCGCAUUAGAUAUUGCAUAUUGCACCUUGCAUCGUAUGACCUUGGUCUUGAAGGUCGCCAGCGCGCGAAAUGUAUAGAGAACAGGUGAACAAUGCCUCCUCCUGCAUAGCGGAAACCUCAUUAUUAUGCGAUGUCAGGUUUAAGAUUGCCUUAUCUGCUUGAUUAUUCUCUUCGAUCCUGCUUUGUACAGAAGAAUUUGCAAUUUCCUCCAUUCUGUCCGCCACGUAAUCGGGAUGGUAACUGGAAUUUUUAUGCAUAUAGGGAAUCGAUCUUUAUACACACAUGCAAUUUCUAUUUCUUAAAUAUUACAAAUAUAUUUUAUUACGAAUA
This is a non-coding RNA of Nylanderia fulva, 3364 nucleotides long. The record is from RefSeq and is a predicted model, not a curated record. NCBI's taxonomy places the organism in Eukaryota, Metazoa, Arthropoda, Insecta, Hymenoptera, Formicidae.